RNAcentral lists this ribosomal RNA (510 nucleotides) under Dyella sp. RNAcentral describes it as "bacterial SSU rRNA". It matches the Rfam family "Bacterial small subunit ribosomal RNA", at positions 214 to 716 of the family's 1533-position model. Lineage: Bacteria; Pseudomonadati; Pseudomonadota; Gammaproteobacteria; Lysobacterales; Rhodanobacteraceae. The record is from RNAcentral.
CGCGCGGUUAGACGGACCGAUGUUCGAUUAGCUAGUUGGCGGGGUAAUGGCCCACCAAGGCGACGAUCGAUAGCUGGUCUGAGAGGAUGAUCAGCCACACUGGGACUGAGACACGGCCCAGACUCCUACGGGAGGCAGCAGUGGGGAAUAUUGGACAAUGGGCGCAAGCCUGAUCCAGCAAUGCCGCGUGUGUGAAGAAGGCCUUCGGGUUGUAAAGCACUUUUAUCAGGAGCGAAAUGCUAUCGGCUAAUACCCGGUAGAGCUGACGGUACCUGAGGAAUAAGCACCGGCUAACUUCGUGCCAGCAGCCGCGGUAAUACGAAGGGUGCAAGCGUUAAUCGGAAUUACUGGGCGUAAAGCGUGCGUAGGCGGUUUUUUAAGUCUGCUGUGAAAUCCCCGGGCUCAACCUGGGAAUGGCAGUGGAUACUGGAAAGCUAGAGUGUGAUAGAGGAUGGUGGAAUUCCCGGUGUAGCGGUGAAAUGCGUAGAGAUCGGGAGGAACAUCAGUGGC